Molecule: ribosomal RNA, 301 nt
Filed under: uncultured soil bacterium
Lineage: Bacteria
Description: bacterial SSU rRNA
Rfam family: Bacterial small subunit ribosomal RNA
Source: RNAcentral
AGGACGAACGCUGGCGGCGUGCUUAACACAUGCAAGUCGAGCGGUAAGGCCUUUCGGGGUACACGAGCGGCGAACGGGUGAGUAACACGUGGGUGAUCUGCCCUGCACUUCGGGAUAAGCCUGGGAAACUGGGUCUAAUACCGGAUAUGACCUCAGGUUGCAUGACGUUGGGGUAGGAAAGUAGUUUAGUCGGUGCAGGACGUGGGCCCGCGGUCCUACGUCAGUCGUUGGUUGGGUGGGUUAAUGGGACCCUAACCGAAGGCGGACGGACGGGUACGACCGUACCGUAGGAGACGGGUAC